This 515-nucleotide ribosomal RNA is filed under the name uncultured bacterium. RNAcentral's name for it is "partial 16S ribosomal RNA". It matches the Rfam family "Bacterial small subunit ribosomal RNA", at positions 28 to 523 of the family's 1533-position model. The record is from RNAcentral.
GAUGAACGCUGGCGGCGUGCCUAAUACAUGCAAGUCGAGCGAAUGGAUUAAGAGCUUGCUCUUAUGAAGUUAGCGGCGGACGGGUGAGUAACACGUGGGUAACCUGCCCAUAAGACUGGGAUAACUCCGGGAAACCGGGGCUAAUAUCGGAUAACAUUUUGAACCGCAUGGUUCGAAAUUGAAAGGCGGCUUCGGCUGUCACUUAUGGAUGGACCCGCGUCUCAUUAGCUAGUUGGUGAGGUAACGGCUCACCAAGGCAACGAUGCGUAGCCGACCUGAGAGGGUGAUCGGCCACACUGGGACUGAGACACAGCCCAGACUCCUGCGGGAGGCAGCAGUAGGGAAUCAUCCGCAAUGGACGAAAGUCUGACGGAGCAACGCCGCGUGAGUGAUGAAGGCUUUCGGGUCGUAAAACUCUGUUGUUAGGGAAGAACAAGUGCUAGUUGAAUAAGCUGGCACCUUGACGGUACCUAACCAGAAAGCCACGGCUAACUACGUGCCAGCAGCCGCCGUAA